CGGAAGCGGAAUUUUGAGAUGCUCCUGGAUUCUACGUUACAGGAGUCCCUUAACAUCCGGUGUCUCAGAUGCUCCCUAGAAGUUGGUGAGAUAAACAGGACUAGCCAGAUCUCCGUUCCAGAAACAAUUCAGCCUGUCCAAAGAUGUCCUCUCCACCCUUUCCCUACUUCCUGCCCCUGAAAAACCACAUUUUCCAAACGGGAAGCCAGGAGCUGGAGAAGUACAGACAGCUACGUUGCCUGGAUUCGUAAAGAAUGGGUCCUCUGAGUUUGCCCGCUCUCCAUGCAAAUUUCUUUCGCGGCCUCUCUCCAACGACACGACUCGAUCAGCACGAUCUGCUCUCCUUAUCCUACAGGUUCUUCUGUCAAGUUGUCCAGGAAGGAGCACCACCUGGGAGCAGGGCCCAAAACCUACCGGUGUUGAUUAAAAGAUCUUUCCCAGCAUGACGCCUCACCCACUGAGGUCAAGGCUUAUCCCAAAUGAAACAGUGCUACGCAGCGGGAAGGCUAUGCCAUUGAAAGGGUCCGCUGAACUACAGGCUUUCAGAAGAACGACCCUGGGCUGACAAAAUGGAACUUCCCGUGACUACUUCCCUGUGUAUUUUGAUAGCUAUCAACUCAACAGGAGAAAAACAAAAAUCAUAAUGGAAAUGAUGAAACCUAGCUUAAACUUUCUGGAGAAGGGAAGGUGGAAGAGACUCGUAACAAGGAACAACGGCGCCUAAUACCAUCUGCACUCAAAAAAAUAGUAAAUGUUAGAUACGGCCACACUGGCAUAGUGUCAUUGUGCUCGAUUAGAAAGGGUGAUCCCCCCAAGCCCCAAAGGCUAUGGCGCUCGUCAACAUGAAAAAUAAUGUUUAAUGGGCAUAAAAGGAGUCCUAUUAACAAGUUUCAUAUUGGCAUAAUCUAUGCAAUUUAAAAAAAAAAAUAAAGGUUUUGAUGCUCUGA
Long non-coding RNA from Neofelis nebulosa (Clouded leopard), 947 nucleotides. RefSeq lists it as uncharacterized. Lineage: Eukaryota; Metazoa; Chordata; Mammalia; Carnivora; Felidae. The record is from RefSeq and is a predicted model, not a curated record. The transcript has 4 exons.